This 322-nucleotide ribosomal RNA is filed under the name uncultured eukaryote. RNAcentral describes it as "partial 18S ribosomal RNA". It matches the Rfam family "Eukaryotic small subunit ribosomal RNA", at positions 1470 to 1796 of the family's 1831-position model. The record is from RNAcentral.
CCCUUAGAUGUUCUGGGCCGCACGCGUGCUACACUGAGUGGAUCAGCGGGUCAGGUUGCGCGAAAGCGUUUCCUAAUCUUUAAAUCCGCUCGUGAUGGGGAUUGACGGUUGCAAUUUUCUGUCAUGAACGAGGAAUACCUUGUAAGCGCGGGUCAUCAUCCCGCGCUGAAUACGUCCCUGCCCUUUGUACACACCGCCCGUCGCUACUACUGAAUGGAUGUUUAAGCGAGGUUCUCGAACUGCUAGCGACUUAGCUUCGGUGAGGUCGCAGUGUGGGAAGUGAACCUAGCUUUGGUGUCUAGAGGAAGUAAAAGUCGUAACA